UAAAACUCAAAGGAAUUGACGGGGACCCGCACAAGCGGUGGAUGAUGUGGAUUAAUUCGAUGCAACGCGAAAAACCUUACCUACCCUUGACAUGUACGGAAUCCCUGAGAGAUUAGGGAGUGCUCGAAAGAGAACCGUAACACAGGUGCUGCAUGGCUGUCGUCAGCUCGUGUCGUGAGAUGUUGGGUUAAGUCCCGCAACGAGCGCAACCCUUGUCAUUAGUUGCUACGAAAGGGCACUCUAAUGAGACUGCCGGUGACAAACCGGAGGAAGGUGGGGAUGACGUCAAGUCCUCAUGGCCCUUAUGGGUAGGGCUUCACACGUCAUACAAUGGUACAUACAGAGGGCCGCCAACCCGCGAGGGGGAGCUAAUCCCAGAAAGUGUAUCGUAGUCCGGAUUGUAGUCUGCAACUCGACUACAUGAAGUUGGAAUCGCUAGUAAUCGCGGAUCAGCAUGUCGCGGUGAAUACGUUCCCGGGUCUUGUACACACCGCCCGUCACACCAUGGGAGCGGGUUUCACCAGAAGUAGGUAGCCUAACCGUAAGGAGGGCGCUUACCACGGUGGGAUUCGUGACUGGGGUGAAGUCGUAACAAGGUAGCCGUA
This 605-nucleotide ribosomal RNA is filed under the name uncultured bacterium. Its description in RNAcentral is "bacterial SSU rRNA". It matches the Rfam family "Bacterial small subunit ribosomal RNA", at positions 895 to 1504 of the family's 1533-position model. The record is from RNAcentral.